Molecule: RNA transcript, 3702 nt
Organism: Dreissena polymorpha
Lineage: Eukaryota; Metazoa; Mollusca; Bivalvia; Myida; Dreissenidae
Exons: 5
Source: RefSeq, a predicted model, not a curated record
AUACAACUGUACUGCACUUGCGUAUCACAGCUAUGUCACGUGUCAGUUAAGUUCAUGGUGUACCUACACCCCUUUGUGUCAAAACUGGAUUUAUCUUGAUAACGCAACAGACGGAGUAUGUAUGCGUGGAUUACGUUGGAUUUAAGUGCCUCAUGCCUUUGGUAAUUCAGUCUUAAAUUUUGUCAAAUAUGAGUCAUUAGUGUUCGUUAGGAUGUUGAAUUCGUCAAUCGGUCGACUGAUGAUAUACAUGAAAAUUUAUAUUAAUGCCUGACAAUUAAUAAUGGUUUCACAGUACAUAGAAUACUGCGUACUAGUAUUGCUGGACUUGAUAAGGACAUGACAUACAAAAUCAGAUGGCUUUUAUUUCGCCACGAUUUUACAAUAAAUAGCUGAGAAGUGGUCGAAAACAACACUGAUGUACUCAAGUACUAGAAAAUUAAUGAUUUGUUAAUAGGGGGCAAUAAGGGAUAAGCGAUGGUAAAUUUAGGCAAGACAGGAUUUGAAUGUCAAAAUUUAUUGUUAACUUUUAUAAAGUACGUUGUUUUGUACGAAUGAUGGGACACAUUGUGUCAUAUUUUGAUACUGGGACAAAUAUCCAAAAAGGGGGACUGUCCCGCCAAGAUCGGGAGGUCUGGCAUGUAUGCUGAAACCAUAUAGCACACAGCUUUGAUAUUUGGUAUAUGACAUCGGAUUGUAGAAUUUGACAAACUUUGUUGAAAUCAUGCCCAUGUGUUCAAAAUUUGCCUUGCUCUAUAUAUAUAUAAUUACCCAGGUGAGCAAUCUUGUUCAAUCUCGGCCUCUUGUUAAAGAAGUUUUCACAAAAAGCUUUGUUUAUUUCAAAUUGCAUUGUAUUACUAGAGUUAAACUGGAAUAUUGUGUUUAAAUAAUUAAAUAGAGAAAGAAACAAUAAAAUGGUUGUGUGGAAGAAUCAGAUGUGGGACUAUCAUUUAUAAUAUAACCUGUAUGGGUCUGUGUAACUAUCAGGUUUGCAGUAAUCUUAUUUUCAGCUACAAAUCUUAUUCACUGCAGAAUGUAAUCUAAAUGUCAUGUGAGCAAAUAAGUCUGAGCCAAUAGUCGCUUGACAGUUCACAAUGUUAAACUGUUUACUUGUAUCAGGCCGAUGAAUGGCAUAUGGAGCUUUACUUAGUUUGUGUUUGGAUCGAAGACUUUGUUGCUUGACUUAUAAAACAAAAUUGAAAGAGUUUUUCUUUAAAAUAAAUUGUGUUUAACAGCCAUACUCUGACGUUACAUUUCAAUUUAAUUUAAUUUUGCUGAAAUCUUAUCAUUAAACAUGGCAACAUUUCCUGUGUCUUCUGGUGCUGAAGAACAUGUUGUGGAUAAAGAAUAUUGUUGUUCAAUCUGCGAAGAGCAUAAUACAGAGAUAAAUGCGACUUUUUACUGUAAAAAAUGCAAUAAAUUUUUCUGUGGACAAUGUAUUCAUUCUCACAGUAAGCAUGGUCUGUGGUUCAAUAAACAAUCUCCUUAUGGAAAGGAUAAAAUAAUGAAGUGGCCACUUUCUAAGAAAAUAGAGAAUUAUCUUUUAACAUGUGAUAUUCACAAAGAUGAAAAAUUAACAAAGUUCUGCCAGGACCACAGUCGGCUAUGCUGCUAUACAUGUGUUGUCCUUGAUCACAGUCGGUGCACUCAGGUUAAAGUUUUCUCUAAAGUCAAAAGGCAGUCAUCAGAUGUAAAGAAAUUGUCAGUCAGAGUUUCUAAAACUCUUUCAAGAUUAAAGAAGCUCCAGAGUUAUAGGGAGGACAACAGGAGAUCUAUGCAGGGCUCCUAUGCUGAAUUUGAGCGAAACAAGGUGAAGACAAUGCGACUUAAUAUACAAUCUUUCUUAGUCCAAUGUGACGACACCUCCAUGAAUGAAACAUUUGAAAACGUGGAAUAUAUAUUAGAUGAAAUUCGUCAGAAAGUAAAUUUAUUAUUAACAGAUUUUGAAAAUGGCUCUAUUAAGGAACAUAAAGAAGAGCUGAAACUUAAUCAAGCUCCUCUCAUCAGUGUGAUCAAAACCUGCAUCAGACAUCAUGGUGAAUUGUUACCACUCCAUAAAGCCAUGCAGAAAGUGAAGUAUCAACCAGAACUCUCCUUAAUAGCCCAUUAUAAAUGUCUGGACAAAAUACAACAGUGUGAGAUAUAUAUGAAUGAGAACUUUUCAGACGAGUUGUUCUCUGUGAAAGGGGUGGUGUCUAAGUACAAAGUGAGAAUAUUUAGGGAUUCAGAUACAUGCAAUAUCACUGCGGUAUGUGCUCUCCCAGAUGGGCAAGUCUUGGUUGCAGACUGGCAGAAUGACAAAGUCAAGCUGCUGAACCAGCAGUACCAGGUGGUGAGUCACUGGGGUGUGAAUGCCAAGCCAUGGGACAUGUGUCUCAUCACACCCAGUGAGGCUGCAGUGGCUUUGGGUGAUCAUGGGGUCCAGUUUAUCACUGUCACCCAGAGCAAGCUAGUUCCUAUGGGAUACCAAAGGGGUCGAAACUUUAACUUCUGCUCGAGCAGGAAAAAAUGCUGCUUGAGCAGCAUUUAAAUGCUGCUCGACCAGCAAAAUGCUGCUCGAGCAGCAAAUUUACUGCUCGACCAGCAUUUUUUCUGCUCGAGCAGAAAAAUCCUGCUCGACCAGCAUUUAUUUUUAGAUUAUGGCAUUAGCCAAUCAGAGCUCUUGUUAUAUUUGCCACAUGGUGCGAAACUGGUUUGUUUUGAAAAAAUGGCUGCCACCAUUAUGGUGCCUUUUUCACAUCUUCUGCAAGUUUAUGUGACGACCUGUUUAAAGUUUAACAGUGACACGCGGUGGACUUCAAUAUGUAUGAUCUACUUAUGCUGCCACAAUGUAAAGGCAACAAUCACUGGGUUUUGCUGUUUGCAAGUGUUAUGUCCAGGACUGUAACCAUUUACGACUCGUUGGGUGGUAACAACAAGGCAUUGUUCGAUUUGUUCUGCCAGUUCAUGUGUCAACGAGCGCAAAUUGUGAACGAUGGCUUGGAAAAAAUUCAGUUCAGAGUUCAAAGCGCCACCUUGCAACAAACAGCGCCAUGGAAACAGCUGUGGAGUGUUUGCAUUGAUGACUGCCAAAUGUAUGGUCAUGAAAAGCAUCCCACAAUGUUGCGACAGGCCCAUGAUUCAGCUUAUCAAGACUAGUCGUGAGACGCAGACUUCUGAUUCAUGGAGUGCGGCAAACAUAUCUGUGUGACUCGAUCACUCCACUGUAAAGACCCGCACGGCAUUAAAAUGGAUAUUAUCAAUAUGUGUUGUUGCUCGAAAAUAUGUUUUGUAGCAGGAAGUGCUUUGGGCUCGAUUAAUCUGAGAACUCAACAAAAUAUUAAUAAAAUCCUUCUGUGCCUUUUAGUUCUGAAAACAGAAGUAGCCAGUUGGUAUUACACAUCUCCUAAACAAGUACAGCACAAUAAAACUGAAGGUUUUAAAUCCUACAUUUUUAUAACAUCUUUAUAUCCACACAAAAAUAUUGAUGAUUGUGGUGCUCAGAUUGCAAAACCACCUGUUUGGCAAAAAUAAUGCAGAUGGUUAGAUUAUGAUAAGUGCAACAAAAAAAGAAUAACUCUGGAGAUAAUAAUUGAUAUGAUAAUCAUUGCUUGACAGAAUCACAAUUGACCUAGAUAUUUAUUUAUGUAGUGGUGUAUUUUUCAAUGAGUGCCUUAAGAUUCCAAAAACAUAUUGACUUAAAAUAAAUAAUCCCGAUGGCGUAAA